UAGGGAAUCUUCCACAAUGGACGCAAGUCUGAUGGAGCAACGCCGCGUGAGUGAAGAAGGUUUUCGGAUCGUAAAGCUCUGUUGUUGGUGAAGAAGGAUAGAGGCAGUAACUGGUCUUUAUUUGACGGUAAUCAACCAGAAAGUCACGGCUAACUACGUGCCAGCAGCCGCGGUAAUACGUAGGUGGCAAGCGUUGUCCGGAUUUAUUGGGCGUAAAGCGAGCGCAGGCGGAAUGAUAAGUCUGAUGUGAAAGCCCACGGCUCAACCGUGGAACUGCAUCGGAAACUGUCAUUCUUGAGUGCAGAAGAGGAGAGUGGAAUUCCGUGUGUAGCGGUGGAAUGCGUAGAUAUAUGGAGGAACACCAGUGGCGAAGGCGGCUCUCUGGUCUGCAACUGACGCUGAGGCUCGAAAGCAUGGGUAGCGAACAGG
RNAcentral lists this ribosomal RNA (429 nucleotides) under bacterium. RNAcentral's name for it is "partial 16S ribosomal RNA". It matches the Rfam family "Bacterial small subunit ribosomal RNA", at positions 355 to 776 of the family's 1533-position model. The record is from RNAcentral.